RNAcentral lists this unclassified non-coding RNA (361 nucleotides) under soil metagenome. RNAcentral describes it as "partial contains 5.8S ribosomal RNA, internal transcribed spacer 2, and large subunit ribosomal RNA". The stretch from base 1 to 120 matches the Rfam family "5.8S ribosomal RNA", at positions 35 to 154 of the family's 154-position model. The record is from RNAcentral.
GAUGAAGAACGCAGCGAAAUGUGAUAAGUAAUGUGAAUUGCAGAAUUUAGUGAAUCAUCGAAUCUUUGAACGCAUAUUGCGCCCGCCAGCACUCUGGCGGGCAUGCCUGUUCGAGCGUCAUUUCAACCCUCAGGCCUCGCGUCUGGCGUUGGGGCGCUGCGGCCCUCCCGCAGGCCCCCAAAUUUAGCGGCGGAUUCCCCGCGGCCCUGAGCGCAGUAGAGAGUAAAAACUUUAACGCUCCGGCGGCCGUGGCGCGGUUCUGCCUCUUUCCCAAUAGCGCCAAUAGCGCCACCCCCAAAAAAGUUGACCUCGGAUCAGGUAGGACUACCCGCUGAACUUAAGCAUAUCAAUAAGCGGAGGA